UACGUAGGGGGCGAACAUUGCUCGGAAUUACUGGGCGUAAAGGGUGCGCAGGCGGCUGAGCAAGUCGUUGAUGAAAUCCCGAGGCUUAACCUCGGAACUGUCUUCGAAACUGCUCAGCUUGAGGGUAGUUGAGGAAAACGGAAUUCCCGGUGGAGCGGUGAAAUGCGUAGAUAUCGGGAGGAACACCAGAGGCGAAGGCGGUUUUCUGGACUAUUCCUGACGCUGAGGCACGAAAGCUAGGGGAGCAAACGGGAUUAGAUACCCUUGUA
Molecule: ribosomal RNA, 269 nt
Filed under: uncultured prokaryote
Description: partial 16S ribosomal RNA
Rfam family: Bacterial small subunit ribosomal RNA
Source: RNAcentral